This is a non-coding RNA of Pelobates cultripes (western spadefoot toad), 1750 nucleotides long. NCBI's taxonomy places the organism in Eukaryota, Metazoa, Chordata, Amphibia, Anura, Pelobatidae. The record is from the annotation of a GenBank genome assembly.
GUGAGAUUGUCUGUGUCUGCAUGUGAGUAUGCUUACUGUAUAAUUAAAAAUUUUACUCUGAAAGGACCAAUAUUUUAUAUUGGAAAAAGCAAUAUAUAUAUAUAUAUAUAUAUAUAUAUAUAUAUAUCAUCUAGGGCGGCAAGAUAUAGCCUUACAUAUUACAUGCGACAAUAUAUGGCGCAAUGACUUAUGGGGCUGGCAUAGAUUUUUUUUCCAGGGCUGCUUUGGAAUCUCCAGUCCGGCCCUGGGCGGCGGAGGAAAGUUACUGAAGGGGUUUUCACCCCUUCAGCAACUGGGGAUUGGGGGGGUGGGAGGGAGAGGGGACCAGCAGUGCCAUGAAAACUGUUUAUUUUCCUGGCACUGGAGUUUCCCAUUAACAGUGAUUGGGACUUUUAGGGCUAGGUGAGUCUGCUUCUCUCUCUUGUUAUCUUGGAAAUUUAGCAUUUUCUACUUAGGUCCCUCUUUCCAGUUAGUUUUUUUACCCAUAGGGAAAGGUUUGUUUGUUAUCUGAUACAUCUUGUUCUUGGACCAUAUUCUGUCUAGAGGUUAUUGUGCAGUCUACUCCCCAGGGCACAAUUUUAAAAAAAAAUCAUGGAGAUUUAUUAUGCAGCAGUUUGGAAGUAUGAACUUUUUAUUGUAACAAUUGUGGUUUUAGUAUUGUAUUGUAAUUUUAUAUACAUUUUUAGUUGACAAUUUUUUACUGUUUCGUUUCUUUGAUAUUAUCAAUGAAUAUGUUUAAAUAGCUUUUUCCUGCACUGUGCAGUGGAUCACAUUUUUGUCAUAUCAUAUUUUCUAUUUUGUUAACUUAAUACAUUUGUUUCUUUUUCAAUACAAUUUGUAUUUAUUUCUUUCUUUCGCUGCUGCUCUUGCGCACAUUUUGCUCUGUUGGACCUUAGAGCCAGCUAAAGGAGGCAGAGCAUCCCUCCUCCCCCUCCCCCCUGAUUUUUUUGGGUGCAGAAAACAUGAAAGUCAGAUAUGUUGUCAUUUUUGGAACUACUGAUAAGUGUGUUAGAAAAACAAAAUGUGUCUGUCAUGAUUAUAUAUGUCAUCCAUUCUCCCUUUUUGAUAACUGGCAAUUAUUUUGUGGACCAAGAGCAAGAUUAUUUGUUUUUACAGUUUUAUCCACUCAAAGUACAUAAAAUACCUUAAUAUAUAUAUAUAUAUAUAUAUAUUGUAUUAAAUAUAUAAAAUGCUUUGUAAAUAUAUUUGUAUAUACACGUUAUCUUUUAAAUUACUGAAUUUCCAACAGUUGAGUACAAUUUUAAUUAGCUUUUAAAAAUACAAGGCUAUAGUUAAUAUUCAACAUUAUCUAUACCCAUCAUAUAUUUUUCCUUUUUUUUAAAGUAAUUGCAUUGUUUUUACAAGGUGCUCUUUGCAUUAUUGCAUUUGUACAUUGUGCUGUUUGUGCUGAAUGUUCUUCCUUGCUGGAUUUUCUGUUACACAUUAACUUUUGUUUCUUUCAUAGUGGCCUUCACAUUUCAUGAGUCUCUUUGGGUUGUCGUGGAUACCGAAGAGACCUUGACAAUCAGAAUUUGUUGGUAUGCGACAGGACCAUGGGUUUAAAUUAUACAGUGCUACAGUUUGUGUUGGGAGAACAGACUAAGAUGGGUCAAUCUAUCAGGAAACAAAAUUAUUCUUGUGUUUUUUUUGGACCUAUCAUGGUAUAUCAAUUCUAUGAAGAUUAAUAGUUUAUGUAAAAUGAAGAUGGUCAGAUUACUUUGUUUAAUAAUUGUAUUCAUCUAGAAUGCAG